GUAGUGUGGAGCGCAGGGAGAGAGCCGCACAUGCGCAGUAGCCGGCCGGGUGUCUCAAUGUUGGGGGGAGGUGUGUGGAUCGCUCUGUGUGUUCUGGUUCUCAUCGCUGCGAUCACCUUCCACCAGGAGCACUCCGACCCCGGGGACCUACCCAGGAUGGCCGCCGACAUCAAGACGCUGAGAGAGGAAUACAAAGAGAUGAACCGAUCCGUCUUCGUCCUGGGUGCGUCCGGGGAGACGGGGAAGGAGCUGCUCAAGGAGAUUGCGCAGAGCCGCCUGUUCAGCAAAAUCACGCUGAUUGGACGCCGCAAGAUGGACUACGAAGACGAGGCGUAUAAGGAUGUGGUCCAGGAGGUGGUGGAUUUUGAGAAGUUGGAUGAUUACGCUGCAGCCUUCCAGGGACAUGACGUGGGGUUCUGCUGUCUGGGGACCACGAAAGCCAAAUCUGGAGAGGCCGGCUUCAUCCGGGUGGAUCACGAUUACGUGGUGAAGUCCGCGCAGCUGGCGAAGUCAGGGGGCUGCAAACACUUCAAUCUGGAAUCUUCGAAGGGAGCCAACAAAGGGAGCAGCUUCCUCUACCUCCGGGUGAAGGGAGAGGUUGAAGCUGAAGUAGAAGAAAUGGGAUUUGAACGAUACACCAUCUUCAGACCGGCCGUGCUCCUCUGUGACCGGCAAGAGUCGCGCCCAGCUGAGUGGUUCGCGAGGAAGAUGAUGGUCCCCAUCGCCUACUUGUUUCCUACCGCCCACUCUGUGCCCAUCACCACCCUGGUGAAAGCCAUGCUGAAUAACGCCGUCAUCCCGAGCGAGAAGAAGGCGGAGCUUCUGGAAAACAAAGCCAUUCACAACCUGGGGAAACUGGGGGAGGAGCAGAGCUAGAGGUCACCACCGAGGGAGGGAUUGUGGAGCGAUCAACGGCCGCCACCCACACUGAGGCAUUAUGGGUACUUGAGUGUAAUAACUAUCGCUGCACCAAAGGGAUUCUGAAGUUUGGCUGAGGGGUUAUGGGUACAAGUCUAGUCAGGGUGACAUUUUGGGAUUAUGGCCACACGUCGUGCUCUGGUGUGGACACCCUUUUAUACAAGCUCCGCCCCCUUGUGGCAUGCGCACGCGCUUAUGUUGGUAAGCACCAUUGAUAAAACGUAUUAUUAGGCAGCUUGCUUCUUUUAAAUUUCACUCGCCUAGGGACAAGGGAAAAUAUGUGGCCUCAUGAUUGAACUGUAGUGAGUCUUCUGACUCCUCUACAUUACUUCUGCUUUUAUUUGCCAAGUUUGGCCCACAGAUGCCAAGGGGUGAAAAAAUAUUAUUGUUUUUAAAUGCUGUGGCUUUAGUGCUACCCAGUGCCGUGCCCAGACCACGUUGCAGGGAUGGGCAGGGUGGGGCCCAUCCUGUCAGUGGUGCUAAGGGAUUUUUUUUUUAAAGGGGAAGCACACUCUAAAACAAGAAGCAUUUAUUAUUUUUGCCCCCCUGACUUACCUAAUCUCCCCCCCCCCCCUACACAUGCCUACUUGCCUCCAUCCAACAUUGAGAGCCACAAGUCUUCACACCCCUGGCCAACCCCUACGCGUUACGUCCUCAUAGACUUCUGUGGGACUGUAUUCGAUUGUCUUUGGCCUUGGGGCAGCCCCAGAGAAGUCUACAGGCAAUCGCCUAAGGACAAAGGGAAAGAGGUGGCCUCAUGAUUGAACUGUAGUGAGUCUUCUCUACAUUACUUUUAUUUGCCAAGUUUCCCCUACGCGUUACGUCCUCAUAGACUUCUAUGGCACUGUAUUGGCCUUGGAACAGCCCCAGAAAAGUCUACAGGCACUCGCCUAAGGGCAAAGGGAAAGAGGUGGCCUCAUGAUUGAACUGUAGUGAGUCUUCUCUACAUUACUUUUAUUUGCCAAGUUUUCCUUACGCGUUACGUC
Molecule: RNA transcript, 1904 nt
Organism: Rana temporaria (common frog)
Lineage: Eukaryota; Metazoa; Chordata; Amphibia; Anura; Ranidae
Gene: HTATIP2
Gene name: HIV-1 Tat interactive protein 2
Exons: 7
Source: RefSeq, a predicted model, not a curated record